AACGAACGCUGGCGGCAUGCCUAACACAUGCAAGUCGAACGAGACCUUCGGGUCUAGUGGCGCACGGGUGCGUAACGCGUGGGAAUCUGCCCUUGGGUUCGGAAUAACAGCGAGAAAUUGCUGCUAAUACCGGAUGAUGACGUAAGUCCAAAGAUUUAUCGCCCAAGGAUGAGCCCGCGUAGGAUUAGCUAGUUGGUGAGGUAAAGGCUCACCAAGGCGACGAUCCUUAGCUGGUCUGAGAGGAUGAUCAGCCACACUGGGACUGAGACACGGCCCAGACUCCUACGGAGGCAGCAGUGGGGAAUAUUGGACAAUGGGCGAAAGCCUGAUCCAGCAAUGCCGCGUGAGUGAUGAAGGCCUUAGGGUUGUAAAGCUCUUUACCCGGGUAUG
Molecule: ribosomal RNA, 390 nt
Filed under: uncultured bacterium
Lineage: Bacteria
Description: bacterial SSU rRNA
Rfam family: Bacterial small subunit ribosomal RNA
Source: RNAcentral